This 375-nucleotide ribosomal RNA is filed under the name uncultured bacterium. RNAcentral's name for it is "bacterial SSU rRNA". It matches the Rfam family "Bacterial small subunit ribosomal RNA", at positions 524 to 898 of the family's 1533-position model. The record is from RNAcentral.
CACGGGGGUUGCGAGCGUUGUCCGGAAUUACUAGGCGUAAAGGGCAGGUAGGCGGAUCUAUAAGUUUUUUGUCAAAUUCAACGGCUCACCCGUUGCGAGGCAGGAGAUACUGUAGAUCUGGAAUGCGGUUGGGGAAGACAGAAUUCCUGGUGUAGCGGUGGAAUGCGCAGAGAUCAGGAGGAAUACCUAAGGCGAAGGCAGUCUUCUAAGCCGUAAUUGACGCUAAACUGCGAAGGUGUGGGUAUCAAACAGGAUUAGAUACCCUGGUAGUCCACACAGUAAACGAUAAUCACUGGGUGUCGGGUUCGUAGAGGAUUCGGUGCCGUAGCUAACGCGAUAAGUGAUUCGCCUGGGGAGUACGAUCGCAAGGUUGAA